Molecule: non-coding RNA, 107 nt
Organism: Capsicum annuum
Lineage: Eukaryota; Viridiplantae; Streptophyta; Magnoliopsida; Solanales; Solanaceae
Source: Rfam
AGAUACUGGUGAGGGCAAUUUCUGAGCAUACCCUUAAAUAUCUCUAAAGCUUGGAAGAGAUUCUCUCAUUCUUUUUGUCUGAAACUCAGAAUCUCACUUCUCAAACU